This is a long non-coding RNA of Papaver somniferum (opium poppy), 814 nucleotides long. RefSeq lists it as uncharacterized. The record is from RefSeq and is a predicted model, not a curated record. Lineage: Eukaryota; Viridiplantae; Streptophyta; Magnoliopsida; Ranunculales; Papaveraceae. The transcript is spliced from 2 exons.
UGCUAUUCGGACCCAGUUUUGGCCAAGGGGCACUCAAUUACUAAGGGGCAUCUCUUUCGAUAAGGGCCACCAUCUUUACUAUUCACACCCCAGGGCGUCACCUUCUAAGGGCACCCCUACUCUAGAUAAGGGGCACCCUUCUUCAUCGUUUAAACAUUGCAAAAUGGCGGGAACAUAUUUCAGUUUGCUGUGUAUUAUUCUGUUGGAUUUUCGGAGGCAUUACUGUGAGAUUCAAUCACUGAUUUCAAUUGGGAUGAUCUUGAUAGGCCCAGACAAUGUUGGUAUGGGUGUUCAAAUCAAUUUAUUUGGGCCGUAUAAUCAUAUCAUUGUAACUUACACAGGAGAAUACGUGACUGGAGGAGAUAAACAUGGAUUACAGCAAGGAAAGACGUGUUUUGCUUGUGUUUGGAUCAAGUUGGAAUGCUGAAGAAACGUGCAGCAAUAUUUUGCACGAUUCAUACAGUUGCAGACGCAUGAAGAGGGCCUACGGGAGCCAGUAAGGGUUACGGAGUGAUCGGGGGAGAGACCAGAGCAAAGAAACGUGAGUUUGAGAGAAUUGUUGUUGCUGUCAUUGAAGAACGUACGAAGAACAUAAGACCACAAGGAGCAGUCGUAAUUGCUACAGUGAUUGCGACACAUAUUUGACAGUCGUACAAGCUACAGUGACAACGACAGUUCCCUUUUAUCGUUCUCUAUAACAGUGUUUUACAACAAUUAAAAACGUUGCAAACACCCGAUUUUCAUUAUUUUCUCUUCAUUUCAUUUUUGUAAACAAUUUUGGAAGCAAUGAACAAAUAUUUUGAGCGUUUUUACA